This 489-nucleotide ribosomal RNA is filed under the name uncultured bacterium. RNAcentral's name for it is "bacterial SSU rRNA". It matches the Rfam family "Bacterial small subunit ribosomal RNA", at positions 21 to 507 of the family's 1533-position model. The record is from RNAcentral.
GGCUCAGAUUGAACGCUGGCGGAAUGCUUUACACAUGCAAGUCGAACGGCAGCACGGGGCAACCUGGUGGCGAGUGGCGAACGGGUGAGUAAUAUAUCGGAACGUGCCCAAUCGUGGGGGAUAACGUAGCGAAAGUUACGCUAAUACCGCAUACGAUCUACGGAUGAAAGCGGGGGAUCGCAAGACUUCGCGCGAAUGGAGCGGCCGAUAUCAGAUUAGGUAGUUGGUGGGGUAAUGGCUCACCAAGCCGACGAUCCGUAGCUGGUCUGAGAGGAUGACCAGCCAGACUGGAACUGAGACACGGUCCAGACUCCUACGGGAGGCAGCAGUGGGGAAUUUUGGACAAUGGACGCAAGUCUGAUCCAGCCAUUCCGCGUGCAGGACGAAGGCCUUCGGGUUGUAAACUGCUUUUGUACAGAACGAAAAGGUCUCUAUUAAUACUAGGGGCUCAUGACGGUACUGUAAGAAUAAGCACCGGCUAACUACGUG